Molecule: long non-coding RNA, 316 nt
Filed under: Homo sapiens (human)
Lineage: Eukaryota; Metazoa; Chordata; Mammalia; Primates; Hominidae
Description: non-protein coding lnc-DNM1L-5:1
Source: RNAcentral
CUGUAGUCCGAGGCCAUUUUUGCUGGCUAUAAGUGCGGUCUCCAGAACAAAAGGGAACACAUCUCUUCUUAAAAUUAAAGGUGUUUAUGCCCGAGAUGAAACAGAAUUCUACUUGGGCAAGAGAUGUCCUUAUGUAUACAAAGCAAAGAACAACACGGUGACUCCUGGCAGCAAACCAAACAAAACCAGAGUAAUCUGGGGAAAGGUAACUUGGGCGCAUGAACACAGUGGCAUGGUUUGUGCCAAAUUCCGAAGCAAUCUUCCUGCUAGAGCUAUUGGACACAGAGUCCGAGUGAUGCUGUACCCCUCAAGGAUU